This 253-nucleotide ribosomal RNA is filed under the name uncultured bacterium. RNAcentral describes it as "partial 16S ribosomal RNA". It matches the Rfam family "Bacterial small subunit ribosomal RNA", at positions 524 to 776 of the family's 1533-position model. The record is from RNAcentral.
UACGUAGGGACCGAGCGUUGUCCGGAAUCAUUGGGCGUAAAGAGCGUGUAGGCGGCCACUUAAGUCCUGCGUGAAAUCUUGCGGCUCAACCGCAAGCGGUCGUGGGAAACUGGGUGGCUAGAGUGCGGGAGAGGAGAGUGGAAUUCCUGGUGUAGCGGUGGAAUGCGCAGAUAUCAGGAGGAACACCUAUUGCGAAGGCAGCUCGCUGGGACGUUACUGACGCUGAGACGCGAAAGCGUGGGGAGCAAACAGG